UCGAUUUGGAGUUUGUUGCCCUGAGUGAUGGGCUCCGAAGCUAACGCGAUAAAUCGACCGCCUGGGGAGUACGGCCGCAAGGUUAAAACUCAAAUGAAUUGACGGGGGCCCGCACAAGCGGUGGAGCAUGUGGUUUAAUUCGAUGCAACGCGAAGAACCUUACCUGGUCUUGACAUCCACAGAAUCUUGCAGAGAUGCGAGAGUGCCUUCGGGAACUGUGAGACAGGUGCUGCAUGGCUGUCGUCAGCUCGUGUUGUGAAAUGUUGGGUUAAGUCCCGCAACGAGCGCAACCCUUAUCCUUUGUUGCCAGCGAUUAGGUCGGGAACUCAAGGGAGACUGCCGUUGAUAAAGCGGAGGAAGGUGGGGACGACGUCAAGUCAUCAUGGCCCUUACGACCAGGGCUACACACGUGCUACAAUGGCGUAUACAAAGGGAGGCGACCUCGCGAGAGCAAGCGGACCUCAUAAAGUACGUCUAAGUCCGGAUUGGAGUCUGCAACUCGACUCCAUGAAGUCGGGAUCGCUAGUAAUCGUGAAUCAGAAUGUCACGGUGAAUACGUUCCCGGGCCU
Molecule: ribosomal RNA, 569 nt
Filed under: uncultured Gammaproteobacteria bacterium
Lineage: Bacteria; Pseudomonadati; Pseudomonadota; Gammaproteobacteria
Description: bacterial SSU rRNA
Rfam family: Bacterial small subunit ribosomal RNA
Source: RNAcentral